RNAcentral lists this long non-coding RNA (248 nucleotides) under Carica papaya (papaya). Its description in RNAcentral is "long non-coding RNA (CPAP_LNC010422)". Lineage: Eukaryota; Viridiplantae; Streptophyta; Magnoliopsida; Brassicales; Caricaceae. The record is from RNAcentral.
AAUUGACAGGAAAAAAAUGGUGAGAAAAUAGAGAGAAAAAAAACCAAAACAGGGAAGAGUGCGUAUGCAUCGUGAGUUUUUGCCGAAGGGACACCAACUUCCUUCGGGAGUGAGAUGAGCUCUUUUCUUUCUGCUGUUUUGGCUCUUCUUUCCCUUGCUUCGUAUUGUCUUCCCUAACCAUUUUAAGCUAUCAAAAUAGCGCAGCAAGCUUUAAACAGAAGCAUCAUUUCUACUGUUGUCGUCAACCC